Molecule: long non-coding RNA, 210 nt
Filed under: Salvia miltiorrhiza (redroot sage)
Lineage: Eukaryota; Viridiplantae; Streptophyta; Magnoliopsida; Lamiales; Lamiaceae
Description: long non-coding RNA (SMIL_LNC004220)
Source: RNAcentral
CUUGACGUAGUCCCCGUUCGAGGCAGAACUCUCCAGAUGGAAAACCAUUAAUCAAAACAUUUGCCGUUGCCGAAGAUAAGCAACCGGUGAUCCAUCGCCUCCACAGGGGAUCAAAAUUCAGCUGCUCUAACAUGACGUCGAUGAAAUCCCACUCGACAGAAUCAUAAGCUUUGGCGAAGUCGAUUUUCAAAAAGACUCUACUGAUGCCCC